UCCCUGGUGGUCCAGUGGAUAGGACUCUGCAUUCUCACUGCGGUGUCCUGGGUUCAAUCCCUGGUCGGGGAA
Molecule: non-coding RNA, 72 nt
Organism: Delphinapterus leucas (beluga whale)
Lineage: Eukaryota; Metazoa; Chordata; Mammalia; Artiodactyla; Monodontidae
Source: the annotation of a RefSeq genome assembly